ACUAACAAGGAUUCCCCUAGUAACUGCGAGUGAAGCGGGAAAAGCUCAAAUUUAAAAUCUGGCGGUCUUUGGCCGUUCGAGUUGUAAUUUAGAGAAGCGUCUUCCGCGCUGGACCGUGCACAAGUCUCCUGGAACGGAGCGUCAUAGAGGGUGAGAAUCCCGUCUUUGGCACGGAACCCCGGUGCUUCUGUGAUGCGCUCUCGAAGAGUCGAGUUGUUUGGGAAUGCAGCUCAAAAUGGGUGGUGAACUCCAUCUAAAGCUAAAUAUUGGCGAGAGACCGAUAGCGAACAAGUACCGUGAGGGAAAGAUGAAAAGCACUUUGGAAAGAGAGUGAAACAGUACGUGAAAUUGUUGAAAGGGAAACGCUUGAAGUCAGUCGCGUCGAUCGAGACUCAGCCUUGCCUUGGCUUGGUGUACUUCUCGACCGACGGGCCAGCAUCAAUUUUGCCUCUCGGAUAAUGGCAAGGGAAAGGUGGCACCCUUACGGGUGUGUUAUAGUCUCCUGUCGCAUGCGAGGGGUGGGAUUGAGGAACUCAGCACGCACCUUUCAGGUGUCGGGGCUUCGGCCCACGUUACGUGCUUAGGAUGUUGGCGUAAUGGCUUUAAACGACCCGUCUUGAAACACGGACCAAGGAGUCUAACAUGCCCGCGAGUGUUCGGGUGGAAAACCCGUGCGCGAAAUGAAAGUGAAAGUUGGGACCUCUGUCGUGGAGGGCACCGACGCCCGGACCAGACCUUCUGUGACGGCUCUGCGGUAGAGCGUGCAUGUUGGGACCCGAAAGAUGGUGAACUAUGCCUGAAUAGGGUGAAGCCAGAGGAAACUCUGGUGGAGGCUCGUAGCGAUUCUGACGUGCAAAUCGAUCGUCAAAUUUGGGUAUAGGGGCGAAAGACUAAUCGA
RNAcentral lists this ribosomal RNA (898 nucleotides) under Lactifluus gymnocarpoides. Its description in RNAcentral is "eukaryotic LSU rRNA". It matches the Rfam family "Eukaryotic large subunit ribosomal RNA", at positions 64 to 938 of the family's 3401-position model. The record is from RNAcentral. Lineage: Eukaryota; Fungi; Basidiomycota; Agaricomycetes; Russulales; Russulaceae.